AGUCCUAUAGCUCAGUUGGUAGAGCUGUGCCCUGAUAAGGCAUGUGUCGCAGGUUCGAGACCCGCUAGGACUACCA
This 76-nucleotide transfer RNA is filed under the name Vibrio phage 70E38.1. RNAcentral's name for it is "tRNA-Ile". It matches the Rfam family "tRNA". Rfam says of the family: Transfer RNA (tRNA) molecules are approximately 80 nucleotides in length. The record is from RNAcentral. RNAcentral also lists the same sequence under 285 other names. Lineage: Duplodnaviria; Heunggongvirae; Uroviricota; Caudoviricetes; Demerecviridae.